CUGCUUCUUUCGGGCUGGAACGCCUUCUUUUUAUAUCUUUUUCUUUUCUUUCUUCUUUAUUUUUCUCAUUUUUUUCAUUUUCUUUUCUUUUUCCUUUUUAUUUCUUUGGUAUUUUGGAGGACACAAUCAAUGGAAAAAGCAGAACAUCAAGAAAAGAGUGGAAAAAUAUUUGGGGAAAGCAAGAUCCAGAACUAAAAUGAUUUCAUCUAUAACUAUGCAUUUUCUCCAUUAUUUUAUCUAACUUGUAAUGUAAUGUAUGAAAUUUACCAUUUAUAUAACAUGGGCUAAACAUUUGUAUUGAGAUUUAUGACAUUAACUUAACCUAGUUUUUAAUUAAUUUUAAUAUUUGCUCUUUGAUGUUAAGUUACUUAUUUUCAUGUGAUUUUACUAUUGUUAUUAUUGCAUUUUCAUUUAUGUGGCCAAUGAAUGAUUAUAUUUUAUGUUUUGUACAUCGUUCGAGAAAAGAUUGUGCAUUUUAAACCAAAUAAUAGAAACCCUAGAUUUGUGUGGUGGAUAGAGACACACCCUUUACCCUAGGUGACCCAAUGAACUAUUUUCACAUAGAGUUAAUGCAGUUGUUUGGUUUUAAUCGAUAUAAAGAUUUAGUAGGUUAAACCAAUCAAUCAGAGUUAAUUUCUCUCUCGAGAGAUAAUUAACUAAAAUUGGAAGAUAGUGUCCAACAUCAUAAAUGAGUAAUUUGUUAAUUGGCUUUUAGAUAAAUUAUUUAGACGACGAUUAAGCGAAACCUUGAAUCCCGACCACGUUUGCUUCCAAAAUUUCCAAGAUUUUUAUUAUUUUGUAGAUUUUUAGUUAUUUUCCAUAAUCAAGUAUUUAUUAUGUGUUUGUUUUUAUUGUUAGAAUUAAAUUAAUUAAAGUUGUGUAAUCUAAAGUAAACAUUCCUUGGAGAUCACAAUUCAGACACAAAAGGUCCACUUUAUUACUUGAAUUCGAUUCAUGAACUUAUGACAUGCACUUUUAGCGAACACUCACGUCAGCCUCAUUCCUAAAUUUAUGCUCCUCAAACUUAUGAAUAACUACCUAAAGUUCACAAGUACCACCAAAUCACCAAUAAUCCUCAUGUUGUAGAAAUAUUAGGCACCAAAGAUAAAUGGUGUCAAGCCUUCAGCAACCACUGCAUUCUUGAUCUUGGGUGCGAGUGCAAGUAUUUGAAAAAUAUAUCCAACCAUCCGAAGUUAAAGAAUAGAGAUGGCAAAAGAAUCCGUUCAACCUAAUACACUUGGAGCCCUGCCUAACUGGGUAAAUGGGAUGGGUACAAGACGAGAGUCAUUGCUCCGUUUAAAGUUAAUUUCAAAUUUAAGUUUUUAUCAAACAAAAGUAAUAGAUUUAUCAUCAUUUUUUAAAGUGAACAUAAGUUGUUUUAACAAAUUGGUAAAAAAGUAAUGAUAUUUACUACCUAAGGACAAAAAAAUAAAAUAAAUAAAAAAUAAAAAGAAAAAAUAAAUGAGGCGAUAAAUGGGGCAGGUGAUCCGCCCCGAUCCCGUCCCGCUUUAAUUGGGUAUGAGUAUGUGUUAAAAUAACAAAAAUACCCAACAUGAUGGGGGUAGGAAUGGUCGACCCGUACCAUACGCGCACCGUUGCCAUCCCUAUUAAAGAACCAAAAUCCAUUUCUUAUGCCUUUAUGACUGAGCAAUAAACAAGCAUUUGAACCUUAAUUCUCAUCAAGAAUCAGUAGCUAAAAAUGAAUGCAUCCUAGUCGGAAAAUAUAUUUUGGAAUAAGAAGUGUUUAUUUCUAAUCACAAUAUACAACCAAUUGGUUAGACUUGAGCCCAGACGACCUUUAGGGAUGUCCAAAUACAAGUCUUAUAAGCAUGAAUGUGAUAUGCUAAAUUUUAAUACUCAAGACUUCAAUUGUUAGCCAAAUAAUAGCAGAAUUUAGUUUUUAUUCUUUUGAAGCGAGUAGAUAACAUAGUGAUGACAGUGAAGAUGUGUUUAAGCCGGAUAAGAUAAGAUAUUAUUUUGUUAGUAUAAUGACUAAAUUAACUUAGUCUAACGUGGUUUGCAGAACACAUCCUUCAAGUGCUAAUUUAUCAGUCACAGGGUUGGUAAAGAUAAAUCAUUAUUAUUUUCUAAAAGAAUACUAAUUUUGAUAUCAUUCAGCUGGAGUUAUCCAGUAAUAACAUUUUCUAUAUGUAUUAUCCCUAGAUGUUAAAUGGAUUCAUAGUCAAUUUUUUCAACUAUAAUCUAUAAAACUAGAGUGGAAAUUUUGUUUGAUUGGAACUGUAGUUCUUAGAUCGCCACGGUCAAAGCUCAGGGUCGGCGAGUCUAUGGUUAAGCAGGUUGGUCAUUGUCAAACUGAAAAUUUAUAUCAAAAAUACAUAUUUUAAAAUCACUUCAAAGAAAUGUAUACGGAUGAAUAUAAAAUAAGACAUAAAGCUCUUUGGCCUCAACAAUCGAGGAGUUAUCGACUUAAAGCUCGCUACAAGGAUCGAGAAGAAAACUUACGGGAGUGAGGUAAAACGUGAUAUUCGGAUUAAGAAAGAAAUAAAGAAAUAAAGCAAAAAAAAAUAAUAAUAAUAAAAUAUAUAUAUAUAUAUAUAUAUAUAUAUAUAUAUAUAUAUAUAGUAGAGAAUCAUCACGUGAUUAAAUAUUGAGAUUGCUGGUUAGACCCAACCGAAUUAAAGCGGGAAAAAAAAAUAGUGAUUGAGAGCAACCUUUAGAUUUACACCUCAAGAAAGAAAAGAGCACAUCUAUUUGAGGAAUGUGAAUCUCACAGGUGAGAAAGGAAAUAUUUGACCAUAAAGGGUUGGGUUGAAGCCAAUUUGAAAAUUUUUCCAUCGUGAUAGCAUUUUUCUAAUUUAAAUGACAAUUAAAAGUGAUUAUGCACACACACACACUGAUUAAACAUCAGAUAAGCUCAAAUUAUUUAUGCUAGUAUUACUUGGAACAUAUUUGUGAAUUGAUUAUAAAAUUUUACACUCAUUGAUGACAAGUUAUCUAUUGUGUUGAUCUUUAUCUCAUUUUAUAUGAUUAUGUUAGUACCUAAUCUUGCUCAGGAUGAGCAAGAGCUUAAAUUUGAAGGUAUUUGAUAAGCAUAUUUUUGCACACUCUAAUACCUAAAUAAGCCCAAAUUUUGAUUAAAUGAGCAAAUUUCUAUUCAGAAUUAUGUAAUUAUUGCUUUUGUAGGAAAAAAUGAUCCAAGAAAAAAGAACAAAGCAAAAUGGAGUGAAAAAGGGAUCAAAAGCAUACAAAAAACGUGAAGUCGGUGACCAAAGUGCACAAGUAAGAAAUGUUCGAGGACAUGGGCUUGCAGUUUUUGGGUCAUAAUUGAAAGAAAAGUCAAAUUUUGAGGACCAAAUUGUACAAAAUCAAAGUUGCGGGACCUUCCAUGCAAUUAUCUCAGGGACUUAAUUGCAUAAAUGCGCCUAGGCGCCACUGUUCCAACGCCUAGGUGCCAUUUUUAAAAUCAAAAUAAUGCUCGAAACCUUUUUGCCUUUUGACCAAAAUUCUGGGGACUUGUAUUGCAAUUUUCUGAAAAGGGUUUUAAUUGAAUUGUAAAAAGACGAGCUGGGGAUUUUCUGGAUUCUGUUCCUUUCGGGCUGGAGCGCCUCUUUUUAUAUCCUUUUCUUUUCUUUCUUCUUUAUUUUUCUCAUUUUUUCAUUUUCUUUUCUUUUUCCUUUUUAUUUUCUUGAUAUUUUGGAGGACACAAUCAAUGGAAAAAGCAGAACAUCAAGAAAAAAGUGGAAAAAUAUUUGGGGAAAGCAAGAUCGAGCUCUAAAAUGGUGUCUUCUAUAACUUUGCAUUUUCUCCAUUAUUUUGUCAAACUUGCAAUGAUUAGUAUGAAAUUUACCGUUAUAUAACAUGGGCUAAACAUUUGUAUUGGAAU
This 3844-nucleotide long non-coding RNA is filed under the name Olea europaea (common olive). RNAcentral's name for it is "long non-coding RNA (OEUR_LNC002386)". Lineage: Eukaryota; Viridiplantae; Streptophyta; Magnoliopsida; Lamiales; Oleaceae. The record is from RNAcentral.